AGCAGCCGCGGUAAUUCCAGCUCCAAUAGCGUAUAUUAAAGUUGUUGCAGUUAAAAAGCUCGUAGUUGAAUUUCGGGAUUGGCGCAUCGGUCGUGCCUCACGGGGUAUGAACUGGUGCAGUCAAUUUCUCACCUUCUGGAGAACCGCGAUGUCCUUAAUUGGAUGCCGCGGGGAACCAGGACCUUUACUUUGAAAAAAUUAGAGUGUUUAAAGCAGGCAUUUUUGCUUGAAUACAUUAGCAUGGAAUAAUAAAAUAGGACGGCAUGGUUCUAUUUUGUUGGUUUCUAGGACCACCGUAAUGAUUAAUAGGGAUAGUUGGGGGCAUUAGUAUUCAAUUGUCAGAGGUGAAAUUCUUGGAUUUAUUGAAGACUAACUACUGCGAAAGCAUUUGCCAAGGAUGUUUUCAUUAAUCAAGAACGAAAGUUAGGGGAUCGAAGACGAUCAGAUACCGUCGUAGUCUUAACCAUAAACUAUGCCGACUAGG
RNAcentral lists this ribosomal RNA (484 nucleotides) under uncultured Entrophospora. Its description in RNAcentral is "SSU rRNA". It matches the Rfam family "Eukaryotic small subunit ribosomal RNA", at positions 569 to 1050 of the family's 1831-position model. The record is from RNAcentral. Lineage: Eukaryota; Fungi; Glomeromycota; Glomeromycetes; Entrophosporales; Entrophosporaceae.